Molecule: long non-coding RNA, 658 nt
Organism: Solanum dulcamara
Lineage: Eukaryota; Viridiplantae; Streptophyta; Magnoliopsida; Solanales; Solanaceae
Exons: 2
Source: RefSeq, a predicted model, not a curated record
UUAAUUUAGUCGAAUGAAGUGUUGGGGAUUCGUAUUCGAGAAUUCCAGCAACAGUAGAGUUGUCAAAUGUGCCUUGGCCAGUGACAUAAGGUCUAGCAGACAUGAGAAAAGUGGCAUCAGGGUAUUCUGAUUUGGUUUUCAAAAGUACAUUUGUUGUUUGUCCCGGUGUUAUAAGUACUGUUUCAGUGUCAAAUGGUUUAACAUAUAAUGCAUCAGUUUCAACUACUGUGAGUGUAUGAUUUGCAAUGCUGAAGAAAAGUUCAUCAUUGAGUGCAGCAUUGAUUAUUCUUAGAAGGAUGAGGGAUGAGACAUAAUGCAAGGAAAACAAUAAUGAACAUUGUCAUGGGAACUAAUGUGGGAAAAGCAGUAGAAGAACCCAUCAAUUUAAUUUGAUGUCUAAUUCUUUUUUGAAUUGAUUUUUGUAUUGUAGUUGGAUAAAAUCUAGCCCCUAAAUUUGAUGUAUAUAUAGGAGUGCUAGCUAGGUUGGUUAGGUGAUGAAAAUAGUAGUAUAAUUUAAAGAAGAACAUGAGGAAGAAGUUCAAAAUUUUUGUGUACAUAAAUUGACUAGCUACUAUAGUUGGAAAACAACUUUAGAGUGUUGUCAAAGACAAUCUAGCUCUAUAUGUUUUGAUUUUUAUAUUUUACUGAGAUUCUAAAA